Molecule: long non-coding RNA, 3006 nt
Organism: Nomia melanderi (Alkali bee)
Lineage: Eukaryota; Metazoa; Arthropoda; Insecta; Hymenoptera; Halictidae
Source: RefSeq, a predicted model, not a curated record
AGAUAAUACAGUUCAUUCCUAUCUUUCAAACCGACUACACGUCGUGUGAUAUAUCGCACAAAUUAAGAUUAGAUUGAGUAAACGAUAAGCGUAAUGUGUUAGAAAAUGUACAAAAUUGUGAUCGUUUGAAAAAUCUUAUCGCUUUAUCUAACUUUCGUCAUUUCAGUGCUAGUAAAAACAGUAAUAUUUAAAUUUACGCACCUACAAUGUCAAAAACGAAUGAUUACACAAUACUAGUUUAAAUUUAAUGAGAAAUUCUAAAAAAACGCUAAAUGUUGGCAGUGUACAGUAGUUUCGCACAAUUCGUUCAAUUGUCUGGUAUUAUUUGAGGACAUGUGGGUGGCUUACCACUUUCGACAUCACGGCUGAGAAAGUUCACUCGGAGAUUCACACUGUUGCGGCUCACAAUAUAACUCCACACUGUAGUACGUCACCGUUAUUUAAAGUUAUAUUUCGUCGAAGCGCACAGUUUUCACUCAACACUCCGUUGAACCGAGCACUGACGAUCAAGUGGCGUCGUCGUCGACGAUAUAAUCAAGAAGAAUGACUUUGGUGCUACGACCACAACGAAGACAACGAUUACGACAGAUUGCUCUGUGCGUGUGAAGAGAUAACGACUAGCAUGGAAUAGGCGGUAUUGGAGCCGCGUUACCCACACCACUAACCCACGAGAAUUUCGCCGCGAGCAAAAGGCAUGCUACUUCUUUGUCACAGCUGUGCGUCCAUUAUCGUUUCCAGACUUUGAUACGAGAGAAAGUAACACAUAGAAAACUAAUUAUUGAUAUUAUUCAUAUCAUGUUGAUAAACGAUGUUGCACGUGAACUUAGCGAAAUUCAUGGCGCUAAAGCUUUAGCUUUACGAAUAUGUGGUCAUUUCGGGGACCGUGUUAACGCUACCAUUAAACUCUCAAUGAUUAACGUAAAUAAAACAAUUAUGGUUUUGGUAUGAACACACGAGUCAAAUGAUAUAAGUUGGAAAAUAUAUUGUGUAAAGAAACAAAUAACAAUGCAAGAUUUUGAAUAAAAGUAGGCGGCAUGUGAAGAGCCACUAACUUAUCUCCUAAAAUAUAUGUUACCAGAAUCUAAUGGAUGGUACAACGAAUAGUAGAGUAGCUUAUGUGAUAUAAAAAUGUAUAUUUAUCAGCAUUAGAAAUCUUGGAAAUUCCAAAUAUAAAAAAAGACGAAAUUUUAUUUAAAAGGUAUACUACGAUUGAAGGUGUAUUAAAUUUGUUUGAUUAAAUAAUUGUGCAGAUAAGUUUUUAUGAACUCAAAACAGUAUUAUAUCGUAUUCCAUGAUUCGAAUGAUUAUUUUUGUUUCGAUUAAUUUUUUGUAAUAUUAUCUUAAUGAAAAGAACGUGUUAAAUAAUACUUACUGGAAAAAAUUUUUAUUCUGAAAUAAGAUAUUGUUUCCAACAAUAUGAAGAAAUAUCGAUUCUGUAAAAUACAACAUAAAUGUUUCGUCAUAGGUAGUUAGCAAUUAUCGGCACGUGUUAGAUACUGUAGAGGAAAGAAUUAAGGAGUGAGAGAGAUCAUGUGCGAUUUUCAGAAUUACCUAGGAGUAACAUGACGUAAAUCUAGGUGUGAUUAAACAACGACUCCUGGUAGAAGCUUAUGUGACUACCAAUAGUCUUCAACUAUAUAACAAUUAUAUAUAAACUAAGAUUAGCACAAUACAUUUACUAAAGUUUAUAAAAGACAACAAUACAGACGAUGGCAUGCGUGUAAAUAUGAGUCAUACUGCAUAUUACAAAACAUUUUCAACGAAAGGUUAAAAAAUACGUGCAGUUGCGGGUAUCAUGACUAAGGUCACUGAUCGUGUUAUACAAUAACAUUGCGGCAAGAUAAAAUUUGCGAUUUUCGAAGAAGGUCCGAAUUUCUUUCUCGUGACCGUACAUUUAUAAAUGUACCAAUGCGAAAAAUACGCGUGUAUUACAAUGUAACGUGUAACCGACAUGAUACUGAAUAUCCAAACAAUCACAUUAAAAACUUAAUAUUUUUAAGAAAUCUUUUUAAGAUAUGAAAUAACUAUUUUUCUAUUUGAUACAACUUACGCAAGAAUAGGAAUUAGGAAUUUCGUUUCUUUCACAGCAUGGAUUCAAAAUUUAAGAGUAAUAUUUUUGCAUCUUUUUAUUAAAUCAGGUUAAUCGUUGCGUUACUUCGUCAUUUAAUCGAUAAAAUUAAUUUUGUAAUUUAUUUUUAUAUAAAAUAAUACAAUUAGAAUUAUUAUCAGCUAUUAUUUUUUUAAAAGUUUUUUCGAAAACGCUACUACGAUAUAAAAAUUUAUAUACGUUACAAAGUAAUCAUUUUUUUGCAUAGGAUUUCCAUACUCACUGGCAUGAAGUAAAAUAUUUAAAAAAUUUAAGAAUGUAGAAAAAGUUUACGUAGAUGUUAUUUAAGAAAAUUGCAAUUUAUUAACUGUACUUGAUUAAUAUUAAUUAUUAAUAUUAAUUCAACGAAUCAGCGAGUAGUACGGUUAUAAAUCUCUGAAAUCAUUUUAAAUGAAUAAAAAUAUUUUUUAAGUGUUUCGUGAUGAUACCACUCAGUUUUAUUUUUGCAGUUACUUUAAAUUAGAUUCAAAUAUUUCUUCUGUAUUAAUAAUUUUGUAGUGUAACAGUUUAGAUUUGAGAUAGUUUAAUACUUCAUUUAUGGUUUAACUGGUAUUGAAAUGAUCUUUAAUCUACCAGUAUAUAAAAAUAUAAGAAUAAAGUUAUCAACGCGAAAGAUAUUGGUAAUUGCAACAUGUUGCAAAAUGCAGAUUUAAUGUUCUCAUUCAUGAUUUUUUGCAAUAAAGCGGUUAUAUUUCUGACAAAUAUACGUUCAGAACUUCUGUUUAUGUAGUCUAUAUAUGUACACAGUUUAAUCUAUGAUAUGAACUGGGUAAAUACUGAACGUUUUUAAUCGAUAAAUUUUUUAAAAUCGUAAAUGCUUUUUCAACUGAUCAAUGUAUUUUGAAUUUUCUACAAGUAUGAUGUAGUCUAGAAAUAUAAUUGAAAAUUCUGAUUGAAAA